AUGCCGACAGGGCACGACGGCGACGGCGAGAGGGUAGUCACCUUCCCGGAGCUGCCCGGCUCGCCUAGCAUCCCGUGGCGCCGCCUGUCGGGGCUGUUCCGGAUGCAUGAGGCUGGCGACGAGGUCUCCGAGACGAUCCGGCAGAUCCUUCUGUGGAGCGUAGAAAGCUCCUGCUUUGUGGUCAACUCGUUCGCCGCACUCGAGGCCGGCUGCUUCACGGAUGCGCUGGCGGCCAAGCGGGUGUCGGAAGCCGCCGGCGUGCGUGGCGGCGGCAGCGAACGCGCGGAGGUGUGCGCGUGGCUGGACGGGUUCGACGACGGCUCCGUCGUAUACAUCUGCUUCGGGUCGCAGGAGGCGCUGUCACCGGCGCAGGCGGCGUGCCUGGCCGAAGCUCUGAGGCUGAGCCCGACCGCCGCAUUCGUCUGGGUGGCGAGGGGCGGCACCGUCGUGCCGGAGGGGUUCGAGGCGGCCACGGCAUCGCGCGGGAGGGUGGUCCGGGGCUGGGCGCCGCAGCUGGACAUCCUGCGCCACCGCGCCGUGGGGUGGACCCUCACGCACUGCGGCUCGAACUCGGUGAUGGAGUCGGUCGCCGCCAGCGUGGCGUUGCUCACGUGGCCGAUGGCCGCUGACCAGUUCACGAACGCGUGGCUGCUCGCCGAGGCUGGCGCGGCCGUGCCAGUGGCGGAGGGCGCGGACGCCGUGCCCGACGCCGAGAAGAUGGCGAGCGCCAUCUCCAAGGCUGUCGCGUCAGAAGAGGGAGAGUCCACCAGGAGGCGUGCGGUGGAGCUCGGCCGGAAUGUGGCCGCCGCGGUGACGGCGGGCGGAACGUCGUGCAGCGACAUGCAAGAGUUGGUGCGUGCGCUCGGUAACGUCGAUGGACUGGCUAGUUAA
This 891-nucleotide ribosomal RNA is filed under the name Triticum aestivum (bread wheat). RNAcentral's name for it is "partial small subunit ribosomal RNA". Lineage: Eukaryota; Viridiplantae; Streptophyta; Magnoliopsida; Poales; Poaceae. The record is from RNAcentral.